AUAGAUGAUGGAUGGAUGAUGGAUGGAUGAUGGAUGGAUGGAUGAUGGAUGGAUGGAUGGAUGGAUGGAUGGAUGAUGGAUGGAUGGAUGAUGGAUGGAUGGAUGAUGGAUGGAUGGAUGGAUGGAUGGAUGAUGGAUGGAUGAUGGAUGAUGGAUGGAUGAUGGAUGAUGGAUGGAUGAUGGAUGGAUGAUGGAUGAUGGAUGGAUGAUGGAUGGAUGGAUGGAUGGAUGGAUAAAAGCAGCACAGCACCCCAUUAGUGCACCCCAAAGCCACAACCCCAUCACUGUUCAGUCCCCAGCAGCUCAGGGGGACAUUCCCAAGGUCCCAGUAGUUCUGCUCUGCCCAUCCCAAUCCCACAUCCCACCAAAGCACGCUGUCUGGUCCGUGGGGAAUCUGGAGCUGGGUGGGAUGUUUGGCUCCCAAUUCUCACCCUCAGGCCACGGCACCCAGGGAGCAUCCCACCCUUCCCUGGCCAGAAAUCCCAUUCUUCCCAACUCCCUGCUGGCAGAGGAGGGGCAGGGACUCUGCUGCUGCUCUCCCAGGGGAUAAAAAGAAGGGGAAUUCCUGGGAUGGAGCCAUUUGCUCGGCAGAGGCCAGAAACAGGGAGCCCAUCUUUAAGGUGGAGCUUCCCUCACCCAAAUCCUCCAGAAAUUCAGGGAGGUUUGGUCUCCUCCAGUGGCUGGGAGCUCCUGCACCCCUCAGGGCUCUGCUGUCACCUCCCUGUCCCCAAGGUUGUGUCAUCCUGGGACAAUGCAUGUCCAGCACAGCACGGAGCCACUGGCACUUCCAAGGAUCCCGAUCCUGCAGCUCUGGCAGAGCAGGAAUGGCCACGGCAGCAUCCCAGCAAUGCUGCAGGGACAGAGCAGCCGCUCCCGCUGGGAGCAGAGGGAUGAUGGAUGGAGUUAAAUGGAGCGCCUGGAAAGACAAACACUCCAUGCCCGGCUGGCUCCCUCCUGCCGGGAUCCAAUGGAGCACCAGGAAUGCUGGCAGCCCCAUCAGCUGCCCCAUUAGGGAGCAAAUGGAGCAGCAGCAUCCCACAGACCUCCGGUGCUUCCAUCUCCUCCAGCUGGAAAACUCUGGAGGAACCAGAAAAACUUCACUGCAGCUGCCGAGCCAAAGGCCAGGGCGGAUUUUCCAAAGCUGGGAAUUCCCUGGGCCGAGCGGGCAGAGGGAGAGAUGGGAUUUGUUUGGAGCAGCCUUUAAAAGUCAGAGGUGUUUAAACAAAGAGCAGCUGAGAGCCUUCCCGGGGCUCCCAGUGAGGCACCGCCGACCUUCCUCAAAUAGCAGGGAGACUCCAUGGAAAUGCGGAAGGGAAGGGGAGCAGGAGCUGGGUUUAGGGAGCUGGAAUGGGGGAUGCCCCCUAGGGAAUGCAGGCCGGGCUCAGCCAGCCACUCCUCGCCCCACGGCCGCUGUCCCCAGCACGGGGUGGCACCGCCAGUCUGGGAAGCCUGGAGAGGAUCCAAUAACCACAACUGGUGGAUGUGGCCGAGGUCUCUCCAGGCAGGAGCCAGGAUCCCUCUCUGGGACAUUCCGUGCUCUGCGGAAGCUGCUGGUCCCCCAAAGCUGCCAUUCCUUGAGUCUGUCACAUCACCAGAGCUGUUCCCUGCUGUCCCCAAGGGCUGCUCCACACCUGCAAAGCCCAGGUGAAACCCCAGCAGGGCUCAUUCCCAGCCUCCCAAACCCUGGGAUGCAGCUGGAGUGUUGGAGGAGCCCCUCUAGAGGGGACAGGAGAAGGGCCUGGGGUCCCCAAAUCCCAGGGGUCUGGGAUCCCCAAAUCCCAGGGGUCUGGGGUCCCCAAAUUUCAGGGCUCUGGGGUCCCCAAAUCCCAGGGGUCUGGGGUCCCCAAAUCCCAGGGGUCUGGGAUCCCCAAAUCCCAGGAGUCUGGGGUCCCCAAAUCCCAGGGGUUUGCUGCAGACCCAGAGCCACCCCCUGUGCUGGCCGUGGGCUUCCCGAGCUGGCAGCACAGCACCAUUUCUGCAGUGCCAUCCAUGGGGAUGGGCUGUGCCAGAGGGGCUGCAGCGUGUCCAGGGCAGGGAACGGAGCUGGGGAAGGGGCUGGAGCCCCAGGAGCGGCUGAGGGAGCUGGGAAAGGGGCUCAGCCUGGAGAAAAGGAGGCCCAGGGGGCCCUUGUGGCUCUGCACAACUCCCUGCCAGGAGGGGACAGCCGGGGAGGGUCGGGCUCUGCUCCCAGGGAACAGGGACAGGAGGAGAGGGAACGGCCUCAGGCUGCGCCAGGGGGGGCUCAGGGUGAAUUUUGGGAAAAUUUCUUCCUGAAAAGGGCAGUCAGACACUGGCACAGCUGCCCAGGGCAGGGGUGGAUCCCCAUCCCUGGGAGGGAUUGAACAGCCCUGUGGAUGUGGCACUUGGGGAC
This 2371-nucleotide long non-coding RNA is filed under the name Cyanistes caeruleus (blue tit). RNAcentral's name for it is "lncRNA (ENSCCEG00000009109.1)". Lineage: Eukaryota; Metazoa; Chordata; Aves; Passeriformes; Paridae. The record is from RNAcentral.